Molecule: ribosomal RNA, 520 nt
Filed under: uncultured bacterium
Lineage: Bacteria
Description: partial 16S ribosomal RNA
Rfam family: Bacterial small subunit ribosomal RNA
Source: RNAcentral
GACGAACGCUGGCGGCGUGCCUAAUACAUGCAAGUCGAACGCACUCUCGUUUAGAUUGAAGGAGUUUGCUCCUGAUUGAUAAACAUUUGAGUGAGUGGCGGACGGGUGAGUAACACGUGGGUAACCUGCCCUAAAGUGGGGGAUAACAUUUGGAAACAGAUGCUAAUACCGCAUAAAACCUAACACCGCAUGGUGUAGGGUUGAAAGAUGGUUUCGGCUAUCACUUUAGGAUGGACCCGCGGUGCAUUAGUUAGUUGGUGAGGUAAAGGCUCACCAAGACCGUGAUGCAUAGCCGACCUGAGAGGGUAAUCGGCCACACUGGGACUGAGACACGGCCCAGACUCCUACGGGAGGCAGCAGUAGGGAAUCUUCCACAAUGGACGAAAGUCUGAUGGAGCAACGCCGCGUGAGUGAAGAAGGUUUUCGGAUCGUAAAACUCUGUUGUUGGAGAAGAAUGUAUCUGAUAGUAACUGAUCAGGUAGUGACGGUAUCCAACCAGAAGGCCACGGCUAACUACGUG